UGCGUAUUAUCCUUCGCUGCGUAAUAAGAAGGUCAGUUCAGUACGUGCAGGUGUUAAGUGUAGUGUUUCUUCUAUUUUACAUCGUAUCGUGUGUGAUUCAAGAUUCAAAAGACUUCGAAUUACAAUUUGCAUACUGUGAGCACGAGUUUCAAUCGAAUUACUUUCGUUACGCGGGGAUUCAAUGUCGUUUCCUGAUCUCUGGGGAUCUUUGAAAGAGCCGGAGAAGAAAAACAGCGUUUGAUGAAUAACCACACGAUGACGAACAAGCUUUCGCCGAGGAGGGAGGGAGGAAGGGCAUUACCAUGACGAUUCCCGGCAAUUAAUUCGGGCGGAGGAAAAUCGGCUGUAACCCGGGCCGAAGUUUUUAUUCGAACCCCGUGCCGAAAAAUCCUCUUUAUCAGUAUACGCGCACGCGGAACCAAUCCUGCGAUUAAUCAGUUCCAUAUUAAUGACCUCGUUAAUUACGCGGAUGAAGUGAGACGCAUCGAGUCCAAUAAUUUAUGCGCCGUCCGUCAAACGUAUUGAUUGAAUCCAUCGGGUUUUAUCAUUGACCACCGUUUAACAAUGUUUCGUUUCUACGAUGUUCGUUCGUGAAGCUACGAACAUAAAAUUGUGUCGCGACACGCGUACCAUUCUAUUGAGCGACUGAUGGCCUCUUAAGCCGCGGUUCUUGCCGCAACUUUUUCUUAAUACAAAUCAGAAUUGAUGGUUAUGGUCGUAUCUAACUGCCCAUAAAUAUACUGUUUAUAUGAAUAAACUGCUGCCGCUUACGUAGCGAUUUAGCAAAAUGGAUUGCAUAUCCCCAUAGAAAUAAAUAUAUAGCAAAUACGUUUGCUCCAGAUAGAAAAAAAAUUCAAUGAAACGCAUUAACAACAAUCGUAUUUUAUCUAAAUUAACUUUAAUAGCAAAACUAGGAACAUCGUUUGUCACUCGACUGUGAAGUUUAACUCGGGAUCAUAGGAUAAUGAUUUACUCUAGAACGGCACGCUCCUCAACAACUUCUUGGACUGGCAACUUGUGUGCCUGACGCGAGUUACACCGUUCACGGCUGACAGUUACACCUGCACAUAUGUCCGACUGUCGUGCGCUGCAGCUUGAGAUACUCGCCUAAUGCGCCGUUCUUCAUCGUCCCUGUGGUUCUAUCAAUGGACCUGUAUGUCUGCAACUGCUGAGCACCAGGAAAACAGUAUAACCCGUUCACCGAUGCAAUUUACCAUUCCUAGUUUCGCAAUUGUUAAAAUAAAAUCACAACUGUGUUUGCCAAGUGUUCAGUGAAAUUCUGUGGAUUUAUGGAUGUAUGGAUUUUAUUAUAAAAUCGAAAUUAUAUAAAAUUGAUUUUAUGUUACAUAAAAAUUCACUACUCAUAAGGAUCUGAACGUAGAUCUUCAAACAACAGAAAUUAGCAUAAUUGCAUUUGGCAAGUGAAUGAUUAAAAAGAAUACGCAUCGUCGUUUAAUGGGUCGAAAUUAAUAAUCGAACCGAUGGCAGCAUUAAUGCAAUUUCUGCCGCGUCGCAAACAGUGUCUAUGUCACGCGCACGCAUCGAGUAAUUUAUCGUUCAAUAAUUCAGCGAGACACGCGGUAAGGAUCAUCCAUAGACAUGACACUUUAUAUCCAUAGAGAGAGAGAGUUCCUUUUGCCCGACGAGAAUUAUAUUCGGAUAUGAACCGUUAUUAAUUAUGCAAACCUUUGAACGAGGCGUUAUCAGCUGUUUUGCAUCGGCGAGAGAAAUCUGUGUGCCCUGCCGCUAUCGGUUCGCAGAAUUAAUCGAUCGCGGAAUUUUCGCCCGUCGAAGUGGGACGGUAACUCGUUCGCUUAAUCGCCGAGCUAAUCCACUCUCCUCGCGAGACGCAAAUUCCAUAUGAGCGAUGAUUAACGCUACAUAGUAAUUAUCCACAAAAGGUAUUCCUUAUUGCGUACACGUUCGGAAUGGAUGCUGCGCCCAAUACCGGAUUUAUACAACACGUCCGCUUAUAAUGGAAUUUCCUAGUAGCUGGUAUCGAUGCGUGAACGAUAGGCUUACGCCAUACCGGAAGCAUGCCGCGAUCCUAAAUCAUGUACCAAAGCCGAAAACGUACCGACGUAGCGCGAACGAUAAAAUUCAUUGGUACCUGGUUAAACGAUUUCCGCUAUUAGGUAGCCAAGUUGCAACCGGGUCGAGAACUUCGCUGAGGAAUUUGCAUGGGUAUCGGUGGUUUGACGCCGACAGACGCCGAUAGAGGCAAUGAUAAUUUGCGAGCCGUAGCGGAGCCGUGGAUCGAUUCGUGCC
Molecule: long non-coding RNA, 2268 nt
Organism: Ceratina calcarata
Lineage: Eukaryota; Metazoa; Arthropoda; Insecta; Hymenoptera; Apidae
Exons: 3
Source: RefSeq, a predicted model, not a curated record